Non-coding RNA from Cricetulus griseus (Chinese hamster), 1616 nucleotides. The record is from RefSeq and is a predicted model, not a curated record. Lineage: Eukaryota; Metazoa; Chordata; Mammalia; Rodentia; Cricetidae.
UGUAAGUACCUCUUCUUCGUUCAUUUUGUCAGUAAAAGAAAAUACUAUCUAAUAAUUCUAUUCCUCCCCACCUCCACUUUUAAAUGAGACUCUUGGAAUUAAAAACGAAUCCACUUGCCUUAUUUAAAAAUCAGAAAAUACGGAUAAGCAAUAUAUUAAAAUAUUCUAUCAAUGUUAACCUCACCAUCAAAAAUGUUUUUAAUAUAAGAUUAUACUCCGUGAUAUACAUAAGUGUAUAUAAAUAUUUGCAAAUAUAUGGUAUACUUCUGAACAUGAUUAAGAAUAAAAUCCUAAACAUCCAGUUUCCCCCUCCACUUUUAUUUUCAUUUAGGAAUUCAAAGACGUCUAUUACAAUUCUUACACAAAUUGACAAGUGAAAAAAAUUAGUUUGGUGUAAUUUUUUUUUUUAACGGAGGGAGGGAGCAAUUUCACUGUGUAGCCCAGCCCUCAGGAGAGUUCAGAAAUUCGCUAUCAGUCCCAGCAAGAAAACUUUCGGUUUAAGGUUUUGUUUUCAGUAUUUGUUUUUUUCCACAAGAAUUGUUAACAAAUGUCCAAGUUCUUGGGAGUCUUAAGGGUGCACACUGCAAUCUAAAAGAUAAGAAUGUUCUGGUAAAACAGCUCUGCUUCACAAACAAGAUCCUCCCAGUUUCUUUCUUUAAAUAUGUGGGGAAUUGCAGGCAUAAAAGUGAAGUGCAGUCUACUCACCGCCAACUUCAACAGUUACAUGCUCAGCAUCAUUUCAUCUUUAGUCCUGUAUGCAGCGCUAAAAGAGUGUCUCCAAGGAUCCAGUCCAAAUAUCCCAACACUGGCUGUCUCAUGCAUGGAAGGCUGAGAACCCUGUAGUUGCUCAGUACAAGAGGCUGGACAUCUCAGAAGCUCUCAUCUGGCACUGGAGGCCUGGAGGAUUUCUGGAAAGCUGCUGGUCUUCAAUCUAUAUGUGAACAGCCAACUGCCAGUUCCUUCCUGCUUCUGCCAUCCACCUGCUUCUUGCUUUUAUGGACUAUCCCUCUGGAAAGGAUAUGACUGACUCUCAGCUGCUGUUCCUGUGCUAUCCUGCCUGUCUGUUGCCAUGCUCCCCACCUGACAGCGAUGGACUCCUAUCCCCUGAAACUGAUUUACACCCACAGUUUAAGAAGCUUUGAUUUAAAUCACAGACUUCCUUAUGCCAGUUGUCUGGUAAGGUCACUGCAUCUUCUUGCCCUGUCUUCCUUCAAAUAUGGACUACACUGAAUGCUCCUACUGACAAAUAGCCUUUGGGAAAGAGAUAAUGGAUACAAAGAUCCCCCCCAGAGGCCCAAGACCUCUACUUAGGGAACUAAAGACAGAAGGGAACUAAUGCUCUUGCUUCAGCCUUGGCUCAUCUGGACCUCUGGGUAGGCGACUCUACCUUACCAGCGCAGUUAAUGUCACAGAAGCCACUGUGAAGUCACUGGCAGGGUGUGCAACACAGAAAUGCAAACAGGAGACAGAAUUCUUUUCCAGUUUUGUGACCUUUAUUAUUGGAACUGCCAUUAGGGAAGCUGGAAUGGGCUCACUGCUGCUGCUGUCCCAAGCCCUGGUCUCUGUCUCAGCUUCCUACUCUGGAUCUUACUAAAUGGAUUUGGCUUCAAAGAUGA